UGGAUCACUGCGGAGUAGAAUUGCAUCAGUAGCUCCUGUGGCAGGUUGAACUACUUCAGCUGGCGAAGGAAGUAGAACCUCUGCUGGGCCUUCUUCACAAUGGAGUCUAUGUGGGGCUCCCACUUCAGGUCCUGUGAGAUGGUGGUGCCCAGGAACCUGAAUGACUCCACUGUUGCCACAGUGCUGUUCAUGAUGGUGAGUGGGGAUAAUGCUGAGGUGUUUCUCCUAAAGUCCACAGUCAUCUCCACUGUUUUGAGCAUGUUCAGCUCCAGGUUGUUAUGACUGCACCAGACAGCCAGCUCUUGGACCUGCGGUGGGCACUUUAUUAGUUAUGCAGUCAGACACUUUGAUUGUCAUGGAUGAAGAGGGUUUUUUUUUUUUUUUUUUUCUUCCCCUCCCCUCUUCUCCCCAUCAACCUUUGCCCCCUCUGUUCUGUGGCUGAAGUGAGGUCUUCAACUUAUUUCUGAAGAAGCAGGUUUUCAUGUUUGAAGUUGUGAUAUCAAGUUGUCUUUCUCCAUUUUCCUUAUACUUUGCUGCUGAAACACUUGGUGCUUUUUCUUGAAGUUUGCUGUGCGAAUGCUUCAGUCUUCUGUUGCGACUUUUUUUCUGUGACUCAUUGUAGAGGGCAUUCCCAUAUAACAUAUCCUUAAGCUUUUUGAUCUUUUUUCCAACUCUUUCUCUGAAUAGCUUGGUUUACACACCUUCUUGGGGUCUGAAGCUGUCCUUUUAAUUCUCCCACUUUUUCUUUGUAUUGCUUCUUCAUUGUUUUGUAGUUUGUUGAGACAAAGUCCAAUCAUUGCCUCAUCUUUGCCUUCCACGGAGUGAGCGGGUCACCGCGAUGACUCAUUGAACUGGCGGAGGACCCUGGCUCUGAAUGAACUUCAUGGUGGCUGUCUGGAGUGCUGGUCAUUGUGGCAGAAUGUUUCCGCAGUUAAUGUUUCCUUUGUGCUGGGUGAAACAGGAGGAACUUGUGGAACUGGCAGUUGGGCCACUGGAGCCGUUAACUCUGGAUCAACAGCCUGAAAGAGGUGAAACUGCUCAUCGCAUAUUGUUGAGAAUCUUCCAGAUUCUUGUGGUUGUUUUAGAAAACUGAGGGUCUUCAGCCCGUCGCGUGGAGCGGCCACGGAGAAGGAGAACCCGAUAGCGCUUCGUGCUACUGACAACGCACCAAGUUCCUCGGGCCUCGCUGGAGUUCUCAUUCGCUCCUGAAACGCGAAUGGAUGAGCCUGACUUCUUGAUUUUUGCAUGGACAGCAGACGAGGUAAACUGUGGGUUUUCCCCCCCUUGCUCUUGAGAGUGAAUCGGCCAUUAUAUUUUUGGUCUCAACGUGCUCAAGUUGCGAUCAGGCCUGCAACGUAAGGGUGUUUUUCAUAAAGUUCAAAUAUUCCGGAGUAUCCCAGAUACUAGUGUUAUUGUGUUUGAGAGUGAGAUGGUUUUCAAAGAAACUUCUAGACUAUGUUUUACAUGAGGGUAUAACUGUGGUGUACUUGCUGUUUGUAAUACUUGCUGUGGAGGCUUUUAUUUUAUUAAUGUUUUAGUUGUUUGCAUUUAUUUCAGUAAUCUGCUGAAGGGACUUUGGGUAAACAUUUGUGUAUUGAACAACACAAUUCUUCAGGGCAAAAGUUUAUUUGGUUUUUUUCUGUUUACAGAGUUUGAGAUAAUUGGAUGUUCAUCCUGUUACAACACUGUUUUGGGUUAUAAUAUUUCAGUCUUUAGAACAGAACCCAGGGCACCGCCCUCAUAGUCAUAAGUCCUGAAGUGUUUUCACACUAGUAUCAAGUUGACUUACUGCAAUGACUAACCUUCCAAGUUCUCGCAUUUUUUGAGCAAUGUAUGCAUGCUGUGUGUUGUCAUGACCAUGCUUUACUUAAAGCAUAUUCCCAUAUUUAUAUAUUAAUUUAUCACUUUUGACAUGCAUAGAAAUUUCAUCAGAUUGCAUCUUCAGUUAUAUUACUUUGCACUCUCCAACAUCCUCAUCAGGUAAAGGAACAAGAUGCAUGGAUGCUGCUUGUACUCGCUUUCUUAUAGAAGACUUAGACUCUACCUUAAGUCUGCAAGAGCCUUCAUGCCUCUAAAGGUCCUUCUUCAAGAAAAAACCAAAACAGUGCUGACGGAAUAUAAUCACUUGCAGAUGUACUGGUUGAAGGCUGUUUCCAAGUGACAAGUUCACCACAACCCUCUUUGAGAACUUUAAGGUUAUGAUAGUAGUCCCCCUUGAUGCGAAGUUGUGCAAGCAGUUUCUUUCUAGGGUUUGAACCUUUGUUAAAGCUAAAAACAUGUGCCACUUCUACCUUUGUUGAGUGCCAUUGUUCGAGGUGACAAGCCAUUUUUGUGUUUGGUUUGUGACAACAAACACAAUAGUGUUUUUUAUCCCAUUUCCGCUUACCUUCCAAUGUCUUGCUAGUUUGUUUUACAGUUAUUGAUUUUUUACUAAAGUGUCCAACUGUAGGAGGCUGAGAAUUCAGGGUAGUUUGGUCACAAUCAAAACAUUCUGAUGUGGAGUCAGACUUACUGUUGGAUGGUUGAUAUUCUGAUCUGCUAGAGACUGACUUCAAAUUCUUCCGCAAAAUUAUCAUUGUACCGUGCUCUGAUGUCUCUCUGCUCUGAUGAAUUUUCAUGUGAGUCUUCAUCUAAAUUAUUAGCAACUCCACAUUCCAUUUCAGAUGCUGAUUUUUUCUGAUUCAGAUUCAGAUUUUUUUCUGACAUUGACCUAAAGUAACAAACACAUCUGUAAGCAUUUGGACUACUAAUGAAUACAUAUAUAAGGGACAGACAUUUAACAGGUUUUAAAACAAAUUUUUUUUUUUUAUCAUCUGGCUUACUGACAAGUAUCAAGAAUGUAAAAUUUUGAUAUCAAAACAGGAAUUUCUAAAAUAACUCACACACACACACACACACACACACACACACAUUUUCGGAACCGCUUGUCCCAUACGGGGUCGCGGGGAACCGGAGCCUACCCGGUAACACAGGGCGUAAGGCCGGAGGGGGAGGGGACACACCCAGGACGGAACACUAGUCCGCCGCAAGGCACCCCAAGCGGGACUCGAACCCCAGACCCACUGGAGAGCAGGACCAGGACCAACCCACUGCACCACCACGCCCCCUCUAAAAUAACUCAAUUACUGAUAUGAAAACACGUUUAAAAUAAUGUAAAAUACCUGGAAAUAAAAUCUGAAAUUCUGAACUUCCGUCUCA
Molecule: long non-coding RNA, 3198 nt
Filed under: Scleropages formosus (Asian bonytongue)
Lineage: Eukaryota; Metazoa; Chordata; Actinopteri; Osteoglossiformes; Osteoglossidae
Description: lncRNA (ENSSFOG00015028980.1)
Source: RNAcentral